This 600-nucleotide small RNA is filed under the name Trimmatothelopsis rhizobola. RNAcentral's name for it is "eukaryotic LSU rRNA". It matches the Rfam family "Eukaryotic large subunit ribosomal RNA", at positions 1 to 601 of the family's 3401-position model. Lineage: Eukaryota; Fungi; Ascomycota; Lecanoromycetes; Acarosporales; Acarosporaceae. The record is from RNAcentral.
GGUUGACCUCGGAUCGGGUAGGGAUACCCGCUGAACUUAAGCAUAUCAAUAAGCGGAGGAAAAGAAACCAACAGGGAUUGCCUCAGUAACGGCGAGUGAAGCGGCAACAGCUCAAAUUUGAAAUCUGAUCCCUCUGGGGUCCGAGUUGUAAUUUGUAGAGGAUGCUUCGGGUACGGCUCCGGUCUAAGUUCCUUGGAACAGGACGUCCUAGAGGGUGAGAAUCCCGUACGUGACCGGCCGCCAGGCCCAUGUGAAGCUCCUUCGACGAGUCGAGUUGUUUGGGAAUGCAGCUCCAAAUGGGUGGUAAAUUUCAUCUAAAGCUAAAUACUGGCCAGAGACCGAUAGCGCACAAGUAGAGUGAUCGAAAGAUGAAAAGCACUUUGGAAAGAGAGUUAAACAGUACGUGAAAUUGUUGAAAGGGAAGCGCUUGCGACCAGACUUGCCCGCGGGCGAUCAGCCGGUGUUCUCACCGGUGCACUCGCCCGAGGUCAGGCCAGCAUCGGUUCAGGCGGUCGGACAAAGGCCCCCGGAAUGUGACUCCCCCCGGGGAGUGUUAUAGCCGGGGGUGCAAUGCGGCCCGCCUGGACCGAGGACCGCGCU